RNAcentral lists this non-coding RNA (25 nucleotides) under Cricetulus griseus (Chinese hamster). The record is from RNAcentral. Lineage: Eukaryota; Metazoa; Chordata; Mammalia; Rodentia; Cricetidae.
GGUGUUGAAUGUUGUCAUGAGUGGA